GGGAGAGCAACGCCAUGGACAGCUGGGGACAAAAGUUGCUGUUUCCGAGGAGAAGACAUUUGUUUGCUCCUUUUUUGAAUCUCAUAUCCAGUGUUUUUCUUCACAGGUUUUGCACAGUAGGGACCAGGAAGCCCUCGGGACACUGCCGAGAAAGGACUGCUCGAGGGAAGACCUGUGGGAAAUAUACAAAUGUUUUAGGGAUCAUGGGAUCUAUUCCAGAGGAAACUAACCAACAAUGAACAACUUCUACUAAAACUACCCCUGGAUGUGAUGGUAAGUGUAAGUAUUAAAAUUAAAUAUUGUACAUCGUCAGAAAGAGAAAAUUGCAAGGCCUGUCCAAACUGUACUUCAUAGAAACUUAGUAGUUACUUUGCAUUUUAGCGCAUGGUGAUUGAUAAGUUAGACUAGGUACUGAGUUAAAAGGAAAAUUUUUUGCGCUAAGAGAAGGAAAUUCAGAGCCUUAACUUCAACACCAUCAUUUCUUAAUUGGAAAAGGAUCAACAUAAAACAGUUUAUUUACAUUUUCAACUCCCACUGCUUUUUUAAGCCAUAGAUCUGAAAACCAAAGAAAAUUUAUUUACAGUGGGACAAAAUUUCACACUGAUCACUUUCUUGCAAUUAGUUAAUAGGUUUAAUGUCCUUCCUGCUUGGUAUUUGAGUUUUCGGCCAAGAUAAUGUGUUUAUAUUUUUUAAAAACCAAAAUAUACUAUCUACCCCCACCUCUCACCCUACAGACCACCCAAGUUUUUCACUUUGUGGGAAAGAGUUCAGGCACAAAACUCUUAAUGAAGGAAUUUUCUCCCCCAACCCCCCUUUUUUCCCCCCGGUUGAAGUCUUAAAGCUGUUAUAGGACAUAAAAAGAAAAUACAACUUGGUAAUGUAGAAAAGUUCACUCACCCACCAGAGUCCAUCCUUACUAAAGAGAAGCCAAAGCUUUUGAUUACUCUACAAGAGAUCUGCUCUUUAAAAACAACCCAUUUUCCUCUUCUCUGAGGAGACUAUCCCACCCAUCUCAAUAAUGUCUAAAUAAUAGCUAAGAGACCAUCACUCAUAACUCCCAGCUUAAAAUAACUAGAAGUCAGGCUUUAACCUAAGAAAAGACAGGAAAUUCCUGAGUUAAGAUUGAAACUUUCUUACUUGGUUUCUUCUACCUUUUUAACCUCGGUGUGCUACAAAUUAUUUAGGUAGAAAUAUUUAUCAAUUUUUUGAAGAUCUCUUAUUAAGAAUUUUUAUCAGUUUUAAUAAAUAGAGAUAAAGAAGUAAAUUAAGGAAAAUAAUUAAAUCUUAAUUUUGAAUUUCCUGACUUACUGUGACAGCCAGUUUUCUGGAGUUUCUUUGGUUUAAUUUUGCUGUAGAAGACUUAGAAUAUGAUUCUAUUUUUGCAUUUCUUUCUUAAGAUAAUAAACAAAAGACAAAAAGGAGGUGUAAUAACCAUAUUAAAAAUUACAUGGUAUGAUAAUAAUAUAAAUAGCUUUUUUAUAUUUUACCUAGUAUAUUAAGUGAUAAUGAAUUAAUAUUUACUGUACAGUUUAGAAGAUAGAAAAAAAUCUUAAAUGUUUUUUCAGUCUUCCAUCAAGUUCAACAUAACCAAAAAGUGUGCAUAUGCCACAUACUUACUAAAAUUGUGUUUUUAAAAUCUACUAGAAACAUAAAUUGUCCAAAAGUCUUAUGAGUAGAAUAAAAUCACUUCUCAGCAAGAUUUUUUUCCCCCUGAAAAACAGUUAUGGUUUUUCAGGCUCAAAUACAUUGGGUAUCUUGGUUUAAUAGAACUGCUUCAUAUUAAAGGAUAACAUGAACUCACAAAUAUUUCUUUCUAUUUUUUCAGGUUGCAUGCAUCAUUCCUUUAAUUGAGCAGAGUUAACUGGAUCAAAUUAUUUAUGGGAGAGAGAGGGAAAGCUAUACAGAAUUACAGUAAUUUUAUAUUUCCACCAAUAUCCUCUUUGUAAGUGAAUCACUCCAUAAAUAUUUUCUGUUGCACUGAAUGCAGCAACAAUAACAAAAUAGUUUCUUAAGGUAUUUGUUUUUGCAUACUCUGGCCUUGUAAUUAUUUAAAUAGCAGCCAAGUUUAGUGAUGUUUUUGAUUCUGUCAAGAAAAAAAAAUAAGUCCUCUACUCAGAAGUGAUGACCAGAAACAGAAUCUGACAUUUAUUUUUUUUUUUUUUUGAAAUUAACUAAAUAAAUGGAAAGUUGCACUUAUCAACUCUUUGUUAAAACUGUACCAUAUCUAAUCACUGCAUAAAAGUUCAGAUGUGUAGAAUACUGUCAUUUUUUUCAGUCUCUAAAAACUAUUUUGCUCUCCAUAAACUUUCUAUUUGCUAUUUUCUCAGAAUUUUACAAUUAAAGGGAAAUAACAAACUACUUGUUUUCCUUAAAAUUCUUUGAAAAAAUCCCUAAGUACACAUUCCUUGGACAAUAAGGUUUUGUUUUGUUUUUUAAAAUUCUAUUUAUUGGAAUUUUGACUAUCUGAAUAUUUUAUUUUUUAAAGAGCAGGGGAAUUUGUUAAAUACCUCUACGGAAGUGAACUGAUCAUUUAUAUUAAAAUAACCAAUAGAAUUAUUCUCAAGUCACCAGAAUUAAAUUUUCUAACUGUAUAUUUAACACCAUUAAUUCUUUCUUAUAUGAAUUUUAAGGAAAUUUUCCAAAGUGUCUGGUUUUACUUUUUACAUACGAAAUGAAGUUUCCUUUUCUGUGUAUAAGGUAUUAUUUUGUAACUGCACUGCACUAACAAUGUCCAAUACACGUUGUGAGCAUCACUGUGGGUAACAACUUUUUAGUUUAUACCCUUUUGAUUCAUGGCACAGCCCUGUAGUUAAUUAAGAGGAGGAAAACUUAAGCUCACAACUGCUUUUUAUUUGGUUUUUCACAUCCAUACUUUAAAACUUUGCAUUAAAAAAAAUAUGAGAAAUUUAAAUAAGUUCCUGUUGCUUAAUAAAAUAUUAAUGAAAAUACACCCCCUUGUCAAAAUCCCACUAACAAAGCAUCAGAUACCAAAGUCCGUGUGUUGCAUUGUCGAAUACAUUAGGCUCAUUAAUUAUUUUGAAAAUGGCUGCCAUUUCCAUGUAAAUGACAAGUUUCUUUUUCAUGGGCAAGAUUAUGGUACUUACCUAUUACAAGAAACAUGUAUAAAUAGUCUUUAUCUUUAACUUCAGUUUUAAAAUAUGCAGAGUUUUGUGAAGAGGAAAAACAUCUGGUUCAAUUACUCUGAACUCUGACUGCAUGUGGGCCAGUAGUAAUAUGAACUGGAUUUAAGAAUAAACCUUGUGUUUAGUCUUUUUUGUUGUUGUUUUAUCCUUAAAAUUUCAAUGUGAGUUUUCUGCUCUGUCAAUUACCCAUGUUAGCACAUUUGGAAUGAAUGUAUAAGUGCACUUUCUGAAUAAAGUCAAAAGUCUAA
Molecule: long non-coding RNA, 3391 nt
Organism: Balaenoptera acutorostrata (minke whale)
Lineage: Eukaryota; Metazoa; Chordata; Mammalia; Artiodactyla; Balaenopteridae
Exons: 2
Source: RefSeq, a predicted model, not a curated record